RNAcentral lists this ribosomal RNA (301 nucleotides) under uncultured bacterium. Its description in RNAcentral is "partial 16S ribosomal RNA". It matches the Rfam family "Bacterial small subunit ribosomal RNA", at positions 509 to 807 of the family's 1533-position model. The record is from RNAcentral.
CAGCAGCCGCGGGAAUACGGAGGGUGCAAGCGUUAAUCGGAAUUACUGGGCGUAAAGCGCACGCAGGCGGUCUGUCAAGUCAGAUGUGAAAUCCCCGGGCUUAACCUGGGAACUGCAUUUGAAACUGGCAGGCUAGAGUCUUGUAGAGGGGGGUAGAAUUCCAGGUGUAGCGGUGAAAUGCGUAGAUAUAGGAAGUAACACCAGUGGCGAAGGCGACCACCUGGACUGAUACUGACACUGAGGUGCGAAAGCGUGGGGAGCAAACAGGAUUAGAUACCCCGGUAGUCCCUGUCUCUUAUAC